AUGCAUUAUAUUUUUCUGUCACCUUCUAAAUCAAAGCAAAAGCUAAUAGUUUCAUGAUUAAAACAAGGAAAGGAGAUGAAAUCCUAAGAGACAUAGAUAACAAAGAACAAUAACCAAACAAAGGCUAUUAAGCUGUAUAUGACAAAUAGAUUCCAAAUAUAAAGUAGAAAAGGCCUUUGACACACCAAACUUGCCAUCCAAUGGCAGAUAAAUGGUAAUGAAGUUCACAAGGAUCAGUUUUUCAUCCCCACCAAUUUGUACAUCCAAGUGCAAUCAAGAAAACAGUAGCCAACUCGGCUUACGAACCACAGCAAGAUGACUUCUGGGCACCUUGACCAGCAGUUCCUGCCUGAUCGGAUUGGUUGAUCCUGAUUGACUGAGGCUCAGUCUUGGAAUCAGAUUCUGAAAGCCUUUGCUUGAUAUCCUUACCAAUUGAAAAGAAAACUUCUUCGACAUUCAGGUUUGUCUUUGCACUUGUUUCAAAGAACUUAAUGCCAUAUUCAUCAGCAAGAGCUUGACCUUUGGAAGUUGGCACAGCCCUUUUGCUUUCAUCCAUAUCAGCCUUGUUCCCGACCAAAAUCUUGUUGACAUUAUCAGAAGCAUGCUGCUCUAUGUUGCGAAUCCAGUUCCUGAUGUUAUUGAAAGAAGACUCGUCCGUGACAUCAUACACCAGCAGAAUCCCCAUUGCUCCUCGGUAAUACGCUGUUGUGAUAGUGCGGAAACGCUCUUGACCAGCUGUAUCCCAAAU
RNAcentral lists this unclassified non-coding RNA (748 nucleotides) under Hevea brasiliensis (rubber tree). The record is from RNAcentral. Lineage: Eukaryota; Viridiplantae; Streptophyta; Magnoliopsida; Malpighiales; Euphorbiaceae.